UUGUCCUACGGGACGCAGCAGUGGGGAAUAUUGCACAAUGGGGGGAACCCUGAUGCAGCGACGCCGCGUGGGUGAAGGAGUAUUUCGGUAUGUAAAGCCCUAUCAGCAGGGAAGAACAAUGACGGUACCUGACUAAGAAGCACCGGCUAAAUACGUGCCAGCAGCCGCGGUAAUACGUAUGGUGCAAGCGUUAUCCGGAUUUACUGGGUGUAAAGGGCGUGUAGCCGGGCCGGCAAGUCAGAUGUGAAAUCCCAAGGCUCAACCUUGGAACUGCAUUUGAAACUGUUGGUCUUGAGUAUCGGAGA
This 305-nucleotide ribosomal RNA is filed under the name uncultured bacterium. RNAcentral describes it as "bacterial SSU rRNA". It matches the Rfam family "Bacterial small subunit ribosomal RNA", at positions 334 to 655 of the family's 1533-position model. The record is from RNAcentral.